This 497-nucleotide ribosomal RNA is filed under the name uncultured bacterium. Its description in RNAcentral is "partial 16S ribosomal RNA". It matches the Rfam family "Bacterial small subunit ribosomal RNA", at positions 28 to 507 of the family's 1533-position model. The record is from RNAcentral.
GAUGAACGCUGGCGGCGUGCCUAAUACAUGCAAGUCGAGCGAACGGACGAGAAGCUUGCUUCUCUGAUGUUAGCGGCGGACGGGUGAGUAACACGUGGAUAACCUACCUAUAAGACUGGGAUAACUUCGGGAAACCGGAGCUAAUACCGGAUAAUAUUUUGAACCGCAUGGUUCAAAAGUGAAAGACGGUCUUGCUGUCACUUAUAGAUGGAUCCGCGCUGCAUUAGCUAGUUGGUAAGGUAACGGCUUACCAAGGCAACGAUGCAUAGCCGACCUGAGAGGGUGGUCGGCCACACUGGAACUGAGCCACGGUCCAGACUCCUACGGGAGGCAGCAGUAGGGAAUCUUCCGCAAUGGGCGAAAGCCUGACGGAGCAACGCCGCGUGAGUGAUGAAGGUCUUCGGAUCGUAAAACUCUGUUAUUAGGGAAGAACAUAUGUGUAAGUAACUGUGCACAUCUUGACGGUACCUAAUCAGAAAGCCACGGCUAACUACGUG